GACGAACGCUGGCGGCGUGCUUAACACAUGCAAGUCGAACGGAAAGGCCCUGCUUGCAGGGUACUCGAGUGGCGAACGGGUGAGUAACACGUGGGUGAUCUGCCCUGCACUUCGGGAUAAGCCUGGGAAACUGGGUCUAAUACCGGAUAGGAGCCAUUUUUAGUGUGAUGGUUGGAAAGUUUUUUCGGUGUAGGAUGAGCUCGCGGCCUAUCAGCUUGUUGGUGGGGUAAUGGCCUACCAAGGCGGCGACGGGUAGCCGGCCUGAGAGGGUGGACGGCCACAUUGGGACUGAGAUACGGCCCAGACUCCGACGAGAGGCAGCAGUGGCAAAUAUUGCACAAUGGGCGCAAGCCUGAUGCAGCGACUCCGCGUGGGGGAUGACGGCCUUCGGGUUGUAAACUCCUUUCGCUAGGGACGAAGCUUUUUGUGACGGUACCUAGAUAAGAAGCACCGGCUAACUACGUG
RNAcentral lists this ribosomal RNA (465 nucleotides) under uncultured bacterium. RNAcentral describes it as "partial 16S ribosomal RNA". It matches the Rfam family "Bacterial small subunit ribosomal RNA", at positions 28 to 507 of the family's 1533-position model. The record is from RNAcentral.